AUGAGCAGCAACAGCAAAACUCAGCCUCGGAGAGUCUUUUUUUCCCAAGGAGCACCACCACCACCACCACAACACCAAGCUCACAACAGCAAGUCCACAGAGAGAAAAAAAAUCUCUGUAAAGUACACAAGCGGUCCAGCCAAGGCUCUUCCUGUUCCAGAACGAGCAGUCCAGCAGGCAACCACUCUUUCUUCCUCUGCCGCAGCUCCAAGAAGCAGCCGAAAAGCACCAGCAGCUCAGCAAGCUCCCAGGAACAGCACAAGGCAGCAGCAGCUGCUGCAGUUCCUCCUCUGUUCAGCAGCACCAACAGCAGCAGCUCCCCGCCUCAGCCUGACUCGCACGCAGCCCAAAUCCGCUGCCGCCUUCUUCCUCCUCCUCCUCUUCUUCCCGCCGCAGCCGCCUGCACAGCCUGCAGCAGCCCUCCUCGGCCGCGUUGCAGCUCCUCGAGCCCAGCCCAGCCGCCGCCGCGCGCACCACAGCAGACCCGCCGCCUCACGCACGCACGAGCCUCCUUUCUCGCCUGACCCUGCUGGGCCCCACCGCCGCCUCUCCAGCGAGGGACUACGCCGCCACCUUCGUCGCCUGGCUCGAUACCAUGUUGAAUCGGGAGAUGGGUACCUUCACACAGCGCCUCCCCUCCUGUCUUGUUGCCUGCGUGAGUGUGUGUCUUGGAUGUGGCGGCUCUCUCUGGGGCAGGGGGAAGAGGGGCUCCUCUUCUAG
This 720-nucleotide ribosomal RNA is filed under the name Triticum aestivum (bread wheat). RNAcentral describes it as "partial small subunit ribosomal RNA". Lineage: Eukaryota; Viridiplantae; Streptophyta; Magnoliopsida; Poales; Poaceae. The record is from RNAcentral.